Molecule: transfer RNA, 75 nt
Filed under: Scleropages formosus (Asian bonytongue)
Lineage: Eukaryota; Metazoa; Chordata; Actinopteri; Osteoglossiformes; Osteoglossidae
Description: tRNA-Ala
Source: RNAcentral
GCAGCAGGGGGCACAGUGGUUAGUGCUGCCACCUUGCAUUUGAGAACCUGGGUUCAAAUCCCAUCUCCUGCUGCA